UAGGGAAUCUUCGGCAAUGGACGAAAGUCUGACCGAGCAACGCCGCGUGAGUGAAGAAGGUUUUCGGAUCGUAAAACUCUGUUGUUAGAGAAGAACAAGGACGUUAGUAACUGAACGUCCCCUGACGGUAUCUAACCAGAAAGCCACGGCUAAAUACGUGCCAGCAGCCGCGGUAAUACGGAGGUGGCAAGCGUUGUCCGGAUUUAUUGGGCGUAAAGCGAGCGCAGGCGGUUUCUUACGUAUGAUGUGAAAGUCCCCGGCUCAACCGGGGAGGGUCAUUGGAAACUGGGAGACUUGGGUGCAGAAGAGGAGAGUGGAAUUCCAUGUGUAGCGGUGAAAUGCGUAGAUAUAUGGAGGAACACCAGUGGCGAAGGCGGCUCUCUAGUCUGUAACUGACGCUGAGGCUCGAAAGCGUGGGGAGCAAACAGG
Molecule: ribosomal RNA, 429 nt
Filed under: Gemmatimonadota bacterium
Lineage: Bacteria; Pseudomonadati; Gemmatimonadota
Description: Gemmatimonadetes bacterium partial 16S ribosomal RNA
Rfam family: Bacterial small subunit ribosomal RNA
Source: RNAcentral